UGAGGUGACCGCAGAUGGGAA
Molecule: microRNA, 21 nt
Filed under: Homo sapiens (human)
Lineage: Eukaryota; Metazoa; Chordata; Mammalia; Primates; Hominidae
Description: hsa-miR-7854-3p
Source: miRBase by way of RNAcentral